RNAcentral lists this ribosomal RNA (279 nucleotides) under uncultured bacterium. RNAcentral's name for it is "partial 16S ribosomal RNA". It matches the Rfam family "Bacterial small subunit ribosomal RNA", at positions 506 to 784 of the family's 1533-position model. The record is from RNAcentral.
UGACAGCAGCCGCGGUAAUACGGAGGGGGUUAGCGUUGUUCGGAAUCACUGGGCAUAAAGGGCGCGUAGGCGGCCCGGUAAGUUUCGUGUGAAAGCCCUCGGCUCAACCGAGGAACUGCACGGAAAACUGCCGAGCUAGAGUGCUGGAGGGGUGUGUGGAAUUCCUGGUGGAGCGGUGAAAUGCGUAGAUAUCAGGAGGAACGCCGGCGGCGAAAGCGACACACUGGACAGCAACUGACGCUGAGGCGCGAAAGCUAGGGGAGCGAACGGGAUUAGAUA